UGUGACUGCAAAUAUCAGCUACAUGGACCCC
RNAcentral lists this non-coding RNA (31 nucleotides) under Rattus norvegicus (Norway rat). The record is from RNAcentral. Lineage: Eukaryota; Metazoa; Chordata; Mammalia; Rodentia; Muridae.